GAUGAACGCUGGCGGCGUGCCUAAUACAUGCAAGUCGAGCGAACGGACGAGAAGCUUGCUUCUCUGAUGUUAGCGGCGGACGGGUGAGUAACACGUGGAUAACCUACCUAUAAGACUGGGAUAACUUCGGGAAACCGGAGCUAAUACCGGCUAAUAUUUUGAACCGCAUGGUUCAAAAGUGAAAGACGGUCUUGCUGUCACUUAUAGAUGGUUCCGCGCUGCAUUAGCUAGUUGGUAAGGUAACGGCUUACCAAGGCAACGAUGCAUAGCCGACCUGAGAGGGUGAUCGGCCACACUGGAACUGAGACACGGUCCAGACUCCUACGGGAGGCAGCAGUAGGGAAUCUUCCGCAAUGGGCGAAAGCCUGACGCAGCAACGCCGCGUGAGUGAUGAAGGUCUUCGGAUCGUAAAACUCUGUUAUUAGGGAAGAACAUAUGUGUAAGUAACUGUGCACAUCUUGACGGUACCUAAUCAGAAAGCCACGGCUAACUACGUG
This 497-nucleotide ribosomal RNA is filed under the name uncultured bacterium. Its description in RNAcentral is "partial 16S ribosomal RNA". It matches the Rfam family "Bacterial small subunit ribosomal RNA", at positions 28 to 507 of the family's 1533-position model. The record is from RNAcentral.